GAUGAACGCUGGCGGCAUGCCUAAUACAUGCAAGUCGAACGGUGUCUUCGGACAUAGUGGCGCACGGGUGCGUAACACGUAUGCAACCUACCUUACAUUGGGGGAUAGCCUUUCGAAAGGGAGAUUAAUACCGCAUAAGACAGUAGCUGGGCAUCCAGCAGCUGUUAAAGAUUUAUCGAUGUAAGCUGGGCAUGCGUCCAAUUAGCUAGUUGGUGAGGUAACGGCUCACCAAGGCAAUGAUUGGUAGGGGAACUGAGAGGUCAAUCCCCCACACUGGCACUGAGAUACGGGCCAGACUCCUACGGGAGGCAGCAGUAGGGAAUAUUGGGCAAUGGACGCAAGUCUGACCCAGCCAUGCCGCGUGCAGGAUGAAGGCGUUAUGCGUUGUAAACUGCUUUUAUACAGGAAGAAACGACUCUUGCGAGAGGCAUUGACGGUACUGUAUGAAUAAGCACCGGCUAACUCCGUGCCAGCCGCCGCCGUAA
This 485-nucleotide ribosomal RNA is filed under the name uncultured bacterium. RNAcentral describes it as "partial 16S ribosomal RNA". It matches the Rfam family "Bacterial small subunit ribosomal RNA", at positions 28 to 523 of the family's 1533-position model. The record is from RNAcentral.